UAUUAAAAAUUAGUAUUUAAAGUAAUAACUUAAAAAAAAAUAUCAAAAAAUAUGAUAUCAAUUGAAUUAUAUAAAGAAUCUCAAAAUGAGAAUACUAAAUGGAAGUCAUAAUAUUUUAGCUCUUUAAAUAUAAGAAAAAUUGCUUGAUUUUUAAGAGUCAUUAUAGAAGAGAAGAAAAAUAUAUACUUAUAUGAUAAAAAAAUAAUUUAUUAUUAUUAUUUUAAAAUAAUAAUUUGACUAAAAUAUAUUUUUUAAGAAAGGCUUAGAAUGUCUUUGAACUUAGGAGAAAAGGUCAAAAGCUAAAUCUUUUAGGUUCUUUGAUUAAAAUUAAGAAGCCUAAAUUAUUUGAUUUUAUACUUAGAAAAAUCAAUCUCAAAGGAUAAGAAAAUACAAUAGAAUAUUAUAAUUUUAAUUAGCAUGAACAAAAUUUGUUCCUUAAAAUAUUUGAUAGAUUCAUCUCGAGAAGUGGUUUCUAAAUAUAUAUAUAUAUAUAUAUAUAUAUAUAUAUAUAUAUAAUUUUCUAAAAAUAAUUUAAAAUAAAGUAUCUCUAAUUCUAUUUAAUGAUUUUUGUAAUUGCUAGAUAGUAUAUUAACCAAUAGAUUUAAACUUAUAAUAAAAAUAAAUUAUUUUAUUCAUUUUAUAACUUCUUUUUACUUUAUACCAUCUCUAAAAACCAAAGCUUUUGAAGAGAAUUUUUUUUUACCACAAAAACCUUUCAAAGACUUUCGUACCAUAGCAUUUCAAAGUUGGGUUUAAUAUAUAAAACCCCCUUAAAACAAGUUAAUUCUUUUUAUAAAUAAAAAUUUAAAAAUCAUUUUUUUAAUCUUUUGUAUUAUUUGCUACGAGAAUCGAAGUCAAAUUAUAAAUAUUCAUCAUUAAUGACACUUGUAAAAUACUUGUUAAACAACAAAUACUUUGAUAAAAACGAAUUGAUGAAAAGGUAUUGCAAAAGCUCCUCCGGAAUGGUGAAAGGGUCACAUACAUGUCGUUAAGGA
This 995-nucleotide long non-coding RNA is filed under the name Physcomitrium patens. Its description in RNAcentral is "long non-coding RNA (PPAT_LNC003777)". Lineage: Eukaryota; Viridiplantae; Streptophyta; Bryopsida; Funariales; Funariaceae. The record is from RNAcentral.